RNAcentral lists this ribosomal RNA (432 nucleotides) under uncultured bacterium. Its description in RNAcentral is "partial 16S ribosomal RNA". It matches the Rfam family "Bacterial small subunit ribosomal RNA", at positions 29 to 506 of the family's 1533-position model. The record is from RNAcentral.
AACGAACGCUGGCGGCAGGCUUAACACAUGCAAGUCGAGCGCAUCCUUCGGGGUGAGCGGCGGACGGGUGAGUAACGCGUGGGAACGUGCCCUCUUCUACGGAAUAGCCUCGGGAAACUGAGAGUAAUGCCGUAUACGCCCGCAAGGGGAAAGAUUUAUCGGAGGAGGAUCGGCCCGCGUUGGAUUAGGUAGUUGGUGGGGUAACGGCCUACCAAGCCGACGAUCCAUAGCUGGUUUGAGAGGAUGAUCAGCCACACUGGGACUGAGACACGGCCCAGACUCCUACGGGAGGCAGCAGUGGGGAAUCUUGGACAAUGGGGGCAACCCUGAUCCAGCCAUGCCGCGUGAUCGAUGAAGGCCUUAGGGUUGUAAAGAUCUUUCAGCUGGGAAGAUAAUGACGGUACCAGCAGAAGAAGCCCCGGCGAACUCCGU